UUGGUUCAGAUUGAACGCUGGCGGCAUGCCUUACACAUGCAAGUCGAACGGCAGCAUGAUCUAGCUUGCUAGAUUGAUGGCGAGUGGCGAACGGGUGAGUAAUACAUCGGAACGUGCCCUGUAGUGGGGGAUAACUAGUCGAAAGAUUAGCUAAUACCGCAUACGACCUGAGGGUGAAAGUGGGGGACCGCAAGGCCUCAUGCUAUAGGAGCGGCCGAUGUCUGAUUAGCUAGUUGGUGGGGUAAAGGCCCACCAAGGCGACGAUCAGUAGCUGGUCUGAGAGGACGAUCAGCCACACUGGGACUGAGACACGGCCCAGACUCCUACGGGAGGCAGCAGUGGGGAAUUUUGGACAAUGGGGGCAACCCUGAUCCAGCAAUGCCGCGUGUGUGAAGAAGGCCUUCGGGUUGUAAAGCACUUUUGUCCGGAAAGAAAUCGCACUUACUAAUAUUAGGUGUGGA
This 461-nucleotide ribosomal RNA is filed under the name Ralstonia sp. P432. Its description in RNAcentral is "bacterial SSU rRNA". It matches the Rfam family "Bacterial small subunit ribosomal RNA", at positions 19 to 472 of the family's 1533-position model. Lineage: Bacteria; Pseudomonadati; Pseudomonadota; Betaproteobacteria; Burkholderiales; Burkholderiaceae. The record is from RNAcentral.